Molecule: long non-coding RNA, 632 nt
Organism: Mytilus trossulus (common blue mussel)
Lineage: Eukaryota; Metazoa; Mollusca; Bivalvia; Mytilida; Mytilidae
Exons: 5
Source: RefSeq, a predicted model, not a curated record
UACUCAUCGAGCUGAGGCCUCGUAUGCAGCAAGGCGUAUUUCUUACGUGCUGCUCAGAAAGGUCUAAAACGUAGUGAACGCUGAAGAAAAGAGUACAGAAAUAUUAAAACAAUAAUGUCCUGUUAGAUAUAUACAUGUGGCCUACAUAGAUCUGUUAUAAAGAAAGGAGGAAAGUGAUUCUGUUUGAAGAUCUACUAUUAGUAUUUAUUGAUUCAAGGUCCAGUCAAGUUAUUACUAUCUAUAGUUUGAACAUCAAUAAUGUCUAAAAUCAAUAUAUUUAUUUGAGAAUUGUCCAGUCCUUGUGAUCAUUGUCCAGUCCUUGGGAUCAUUGACUGUCCAGUCCUUGGGAUCAUUGACUGUCCAGUCCUUGGGAUCAUUGUCCAGUCCUUGGGAUCAUUGUCCAGUCAAUUUCAUGCUUGUCCAGUUGAGUUGUUAUUAUAGAGAUGCUUUAGAUGGUGGCACUGUCUUACUGACAGAUUUCGUUGACUUCAGACGUACUUUCAUCAGUUUUAAUCAAUUAAGUAUGUAUUGUAUAAUAUAUGUUUUUAGCUCACCUGGCUUUUCUCAUCACUUGGCGUCAGUUGUCCAUCGUUGUAGUUGUUAACUUUUACAAAAAUCUUCUCCUCCAAAAC